GGUAGUCCACGCCCUAAACGAUGCUGACUAGUUGUUCGGGAUUUACAUCCUGAGUAACGUAGCUAACGCGUGAAGUCAGCCGCCUGGGGAGUACGUUCGCAAGAUUAAAACUCAAAGGAAUUGACGGGGACCCGCACAAGCGGUGGAUGAUGUGGAUUAAUUCGAUGCAACGCGAAAAACCUUACCUACCCUUGACAUGUCACUAACGAAGUAGAGAUACAUUAGGUGCUCGUAAGAGAAAGUGAACACAGGUGCUGCAUGGCUGUCGUCAGCUCGUGUCGUGAGAUGUUGGGUUAAGUCCCGCAACGAGCGCAACCCUUGUCUUUAGUUGCUACGCAAGAGCACUCUAAAGAGACUGCCGGUGACAAACCGGAGGAAGGUGGGGAUGACGUCAAGUCCUCAUGGCCCUUAUGGGUAGGGCUUCACACGUCAUACAAUGGUGCAUACAGAGGGUUGCCAACCCGCGAGGGGGAGCUAAUCUCAGAAAAUGCAUCGUAGUCCGGAUCGUAGUCUGCAACUCGACUACGUGAAGCUGGAAUCGCUAGUAAUCGCGGAUCAGAAUGUCGCGGUGAAUACGUUCCCGGGUCUUGUACACACCGCCCGUCAUACCAUGGGAGUGGGUUUUGCCAGAAGCCGUUAGCCUAACCGCAAGGAG
Molecule: ribosomal RNA, 655 nt
Filed under: uncultured beta proteobacterium
Lineage: Bacteria; Pseudomonadati; Pseudomonadota; Betaproteobacteria
Description: bacterial SSU rRNA
Rfam family: Bacterial small subunit ribosomal RNA
Source: RNAcentral